This 77-nucleotide transfer RNA is filed under the name Phrynosoma platyrhinos (Desert horned lizard). RNAcentral's name for it is "tRNA-OTHER". The record is from RNAcentral. Lineage: Eukaryota; Metazoa; Chordata; Lepidosauria; Squamata; Phrynosomatidae.
GCCAUUGUAGUGUAGUGGUUUGAGUGUUGGACUAUGACUCUGGAGGCCAGGGUUCGAAUUCUGGCUCAGCCAUGCCA